Molecule: ribosomal RNA, 442 nt
Filed under: Reimeria uniseriata
Lineage: Eukaryota; Bacillariophyta; Bacillariophyceae; Cymbellales; Gomphonemataceae
Description: SSU rRNA
Rfam family: Eukaryotic small subunit ribosomal RNA
Source: RNAcentral
GCCAGUAUUCCAGCUCCAAUAGCGUAUAUUAAAGUUGUUGCAGUUAAAAAGCUCGUAGUUGGAUUUGUGGUGGUUACUGAGGUCCACUUUUGGUACCAACAGUAACCGCCAUCCUUGGGUGGAAUCUGUGUGGCAUUAGGUUGUCGCGCAGGGGAUGCCCAUCAUUUACUGUGAAAAAAUCAGCGCGUUCAAAGCAGGCUUAUGCCGUUGAAUGUAUUAGCAUGGAAUAAUAAGAUAGGACCUUGGUACUAUUUUGUUGGUUUGCGCACCGAGGUAAUGAUUAAUAGGGACAGUUGGGGGUAUUCGUAUUCCAUUGUCAGAGGUGAAAUUCUUGGAUUUCUGGAAGACGAACUACUGCGAAAGCAUUUACCAAGGAUGUUUUCAUUAAUCAAGAACGAAAGUUAGGGGAUCGAAGAUGAUUAGAUACCAUCGUAGUCGUCAU